GUUGGAUCCGAAAAUUCUUGAGGGAUGAGUCUGACGUUGAUUUGAUAUUUCUGUUCCUACCCGGAUGGAGUCAACUCUCACCACCUUAGAGGAAUUACGAGAAAGACUACCAGAGACAUUAUUCUGCUCAAAAGUUUAUUGCUUGUUGUCAUCAUAAAUGCUAAGGGAUAAUAGUGGGUUUCUCUUCCAUACCAGUUCCCCCCCCCCCCCCCCCC
This 215-nucleotide long non-coding RNA is filed under the name Musa acuminata (dwarf banana). RNAcentral describes it as "long non-coding RNA (MACU_LNC007214)". The record is from RNAcentral. Lineage: Eukaryota; Viridiplantae; Streptophyta; Magnoliopsida; Zingiberales; Musaceae.